CCUACGGGGGACAGCAGUGAGGAAUAUUGGUCAAUGGGCGGGAGCCUGAACCAGCCAAGUCGCGUGAAGGAAGAAGGUCCUUAGGAUUGUAAACUUCUUUUGUCGGGGAACAAAGGCGGAGACGCGUGUCCGUUUGAGUGUACCCGAAGAAAAAGCACCGGCUAACUCCGUGCCAGCAGCCGCGGUAAUACGGAGGAUCCGAUCGUUAUCCGGAUUUAUUGGGUUUAAGGGGGGGGCAGGCGGGAGUUCACGUCAGCGGUAAAAUGUCGGGGCUCAACCCCGGCGGGCCGUUGAAACUGGUUUUCUAGAGUGCGAGAGAGGUAUGCGGAAUUCGUGGUGUAGCGGUGAAAUGCAUAGAUAUCACGAAGAACUCCGAUUGCGAAGGCAGCAUACCGACUCGAUACUGACGCUGAAGCACGAAAGCGUGGGUAUCGAACAGGAUUAGAUACCCUGGUAGUC
Molecule: ribosomal RNA, 459 nt
Filed under: uncultured bacterium
Lineage: Bacteria
Description: partial 16S ribosomal RNA
Rfam family: Bacterial small subunit ribosomal RNA
Source: RNAcentral